This is a non-coding RNA of Phrynosoma platyrhinos (Desert horned lizard), 72 nucleotides long. Lineage: Eukaryota; Metazoa; Chordata; Lepidosauria; Squamata; Phrynosomatidae. The record is from the annotation of a GenBank genome assembly.
AGGAGCAUGGUGUAGUGGUUUGAACAUUGGACUAUGGCUUUGGAGACCAGGGUUUGAAUCCCUGCUCAGCUA